This 73-nucleotide small nuclear RNA is filed under the name Macaca mulatta (Rhesus monkey). Its description in RNAcentral is "U4 spliceosomal RNA". It matches the Rfam family "U4 spliceosomal RNA", at positions 1 to 75 of the family's 138-position model. Rfam says of the family: U4 small nuclear RNA (U4 snRNA) is a component of the major U2-dependent spliceosome. The record is from Rfam by way of RNAcentral. Lineage: Eukaryota; Metazoa; Chordata; Mammalia; Primates; Cercopithecidae.
AGCUUUGUGCAGUAGCAGUAUCAUAGCCAAUGAAGUUUAUCUCAGGUGAUUAUUGCUAAUUGAAAAAAACCCU